This 770-nucleotide ribosomal RNA is filed under the name Pimelobacter simplex. RNAcentral describes it as "bacterial SSU rRNA". It matches the Rfam family "Bacterial small subunit ribosomal RNA", at positions 78 to 861 of the family's 1533-position model. Lineage: Bacteria; Bacillati; Actinomycetota; Actinomycetes; Propionibacteriales; Nocardioidaceae. The record is from RNAcentral.
CUUCGGGGGUACUCGAGCGGCGAACGGGUGAGUAACACGUGAGUAAUCUGCCCUGCGCUCUGGGAUAGCCACCGGAAACGGUGAUUAAUACCGGAUAUGACCACUCUAGGCAUCUAGUGGUGGUGGAAAGUUUUUCGGCGCAGGAUGUGCUCGCGGCCUAUCAGCUUGUUGGUGAGGUAAUGGCUCACCAAGGCUUUGACGGGUAGCCGGCCUGAGAGGGUGACCGGUCACACUGGGACUGAGACACGGCCCAGACUCCUACGGGAGGCAGCAGUGGGGAAUAUUGGACAAUGGGCGGAAGCCUGAUCCAGCAACGCCGCGUGAGGGAUGACGGCCUUCGGGUUGUAAACCUCUUUCAGUACCGACGAAGCGAAAGUGACGGUAGGUACAGAAGAAGGACCGGCCAACUACGUGCCAGCAGCCGCGGUAAUACGUAGGGUCCGAGCGUUGUCCGGAAUUAUUGGGCGUAAAGGGCUCGUAGGCGGUUUGUCGCGUCGGGAGUGAAAACAGCCAGCUUAACUGGUUGCUUGCUUUCGAUACGGGCAGACUAGAGGUAUGCAGGGGAGAAUGGAAUUCCUGGUGUAGCGGUGAAAUGCGCAGAUAUCAGGAGGAACACCGGUGGCGAAGGCGGUUCUCUGGGCAUUACCUGACGCUGAGGAGCGAAAGUGUGGGGAGCGAACAGGAUUAGAUACCCUGGUAGUCCACACCGUAAACGUUGGGCGCUAGGUGUGGGAUCCUUUCCACGGGUUCCGUGCCGUAGCUAACGCAUU